GAUGAACGCUGGCGGCGUGCUUAACACAUGCAAGUCGAACGAAGCACUUUAUUUGAUUUCCUUCGGGACUGAUUAUUUUGUGACUGAGUGGCGGACGGGUGAGUAACGCGUGGGUAACCUGCCUUGUACAGGGGGAUAACAGUUGGAAACGGCUGCUAAUACCGCAUAAGCGCACAGCAUCGCAUGAUGCAGUGUGAAAAACUCCGGUGGUAUAAGACGGACCCGCGUUGGAUUAGCUAGUUGGUGAGGUAACGGCCCACCAAGGCGACGAUCCAUAGCCGACCUGAGAGGGUGACCGGCCACAUUGGGACUGAGACACGGCCCAAACUCCUACGGGAGGCAGCAGUGGGGAAUAUUGCACAAUGGGCGAAAGCCUGAUGCAGCGACGCCGCGUGAGCGAAGAAGUAUUUCGGUAUGUAAAGCUCUAUCAGCAGGGAAGAUAAUGACGGUACCUGACUAAGAAGCACCGGCUAAAUACGUG
Molecule: ribosomal RNA, 481 nt
Filed under: uncultured bacterium
Lineage: Bacteria
Description: partial 16S ribosomal RNA
Rfam family: Bacterial small subunit ribosomal RNA
Source: RNAcentral